RNAcentral lists this ribosomal RNA (1552 nucleotides) under Salmonella enterica. RNAcentral's name for it is "bacterial SSU rRNA". It matches the Rfam family "Bacterial small subunit ribosomal RNA". RNAcentral also lists the same sequence under 5 other names. The record is from RNAcentral. Lineage: Bacteria; Pseudomonadati; Pseudomonadota; Gammaproteobacteria; Enterobacterales; Enterobacteriaceae.
AAAUUGAAGAGUUUGAUCAUGGCUCAGAUUGAACGCUGGCGGCAGGCCUAACACAUGCAAGUCGAACGGUAACAGGAAGCAGCUUGCUGCUUUGCUGACGAGUGGCGGACGGGUGAGUAAUGUCUGGGAAACUGCCUGAUGGAGGGGGAUAACUACUGGAAACGGUGGCUAAUACCGCAUAACGUCGCAAGACCAAAGAGGGGGACCUUCGGGCCUCUUGCCAUCAGAUGUGCCCAGAUGGGAUUAGCUUGUUGGUGAGGUAACGGCUCACCAAGGCGACGAUCCCUAGCUGGUCUGAGAGGAUGACCAGCCACACUGGAACUGAGACACGGUCCAGACUCCUACGGGAGGCAGCAGUGGGGAAUAUUGCACAAUGGGCGCAAGCCUGAUGCAGCCAUGCCGCGUGUAUGAAGAAGGCCUUCGGGUUGUAAAGUACUUUCAGCGGGGAGGAAGGUGUUGUGGUUAAUAACCGCAGCAAUUGACGUUACCCGCAGAAGAAGCACCGGCUAACUCCGUGCCAGCAGCCGCGGUAAUACGGAGGGUGCAAGCGUUAAUCGGAAUUACUGGGCGUAAAGCGCACGCAGGCGGUCUGUCAAGUCGGAUGUGAAAUCCCCGGGCUCAACCUGGGAACUGCAUUCGAAACUGGCAGGCUUGAGUCUUGUAGAGGGGGGUAGAAUUCCAGGUGUAGCGGUGAAAUGCGUAGAGAUCUGGAGGAAUACCGGUGGCGAAGGCGGCCCCCUGGACAAAGACUGACGCUCAGGUGCGAAAGCGUGGGGAGCAAACAGGAUUAGAUACCCUGGUAGUCCACGCCGUAAACGAUGUCUACUUGGAGGUUGUGCCCUUGAGGCGUGGCUUCCGGAGCUAACGCGUUAAGUAGACCGCCUGGGGAGUACGGCCGCAAGGUUAAAACUCAAAUGAAUUGACGGGGGCCCGCACAAGCGGUGGAGCAUGUGGUUUAAUUCGAUGCAACGCGAAGAACCUUACCUGGUCUUGACAUCCACAGAACUUUCCAGAGAUGGAUUGGUGCCUUCGGGAACUGUGAGACAGGUGCUGCAUGGCUGUCGUCAGCUCGUGUUGUGAAAUGUUGGGUUAAGUCCCGCAACGAGCGCAACCCUUAUCCUUUGUUGCCAGCGGUCCGGCCGGGAACUCAAAGGAGACUGCCAGUGAUAAACUGGAGGAAGGUGGGGAUGACGUCAAGUCAUCAUGGCCCUUACGACCAGGGCUACACACGUGCUACAAUGGCGCAUACAAAGAGAAGCGACCUCGCGAGAGCAAGCGGACCUCAUAAAGUGCGUCGUAGUCCGGAUUGGAGUCUGCAACUCGACUCCAUGAAGUCGGAAUCGCUAGUAAUCGUGGAUCAGAAUGCCACGGUGAAUACGUUCCCGGGCCUUGUACACACCGCCCGUCACACCAUGGGAGUGGGUUGCAAAAGAAGUAGGUAGCUUAACCUUCGGGAGGGCGCUUACCACUUUGUGAUUCAUGACUGGGGUGAAGUCGUAACAAGGUAACCGUAGGGGAACCUGCGGUUGGAUCACCUCCUUACCUGAAAGAA